RNAcentral lists this ribosomal RNA (807 nucleotides) under Sporormyces septenarius. RNAcentral's name for it is "Sporormiella septenaria partial large subunit ribosomal RNA". It matches the Rfam family "Eukaryotic large subunit ribosomal RNA", at positions 85 to 909 of the family's 3401-position model. Lineage: Eukaryota; Fungi; Ascomycota; Dothideomycetes; Pleosporales; Sporormiaceae. The record is from RNAcentral.
AACGGCGAGUGAAGCGGCAACAGCUCAAAUUUGAAAUCUGGCUCUUUCAGAGUCCGAGUUGUAAUUUGCAGAGGGUGCUUUGGUGUUGACUGUGGUCUAAGUUCCUUGGAACAGGACGUCGCAGAGGGUGAGAAUCCCGUAUGUGGCCGCCAGUCUUCACCGUGUAAAGCCCCUUCGACGAGUCGAGUUGUUUGGGAAUGCAGCUCUAAAUGGGAGGUAAAUUUCUUCUAAAGCUAAAUACUGGCCAGAGACCGAUAGCGCACAAGUAGAGUGAUCGAAAGAUGAAAAGCACUUUGGAAAGAGAGUCAAAAAGCACGUGAAAUUGUUGAAAGGGAAGCGCUUGCAGCCAGACUUGCCUGUAGUUGCUCAUCCGGACUUUUGUCCGGUGCACUCUUCUACGGGCAGGCCAGCAUCAGUUGGGGCGGUUGGAUAAAUGCCUGCUGAAUGUACCUCUCUUCGGGGAGGACUUAUAGCAGUGGGCGGCAUACAACCAGCCCCGACUGAGGUCCGCGCAUCUGCUAGGAUGCUGGCGUAAUGGCUGUAAGCGGCCCGUCUUGAAACACGGACCAAGGAGUCUAACAUCUAUGCGAGUGUUUGGGUGUCAAGCCCGAGCGCGUAAUGAAAGUGAACGGAGGUGGGAACCCCUCGGGGUGCACCAUCGACCGAUCCUGAUGUCUUCGGAUGGAUUUGAGUAAGAGCAUAGCUGUUGGGACCCGAAAGAUGGUGAACUAUGCCUGAAUAGGGUGAAGCCAGAGGAAACUCUGGUGGAGGCUCGCAGCGGUUCUGACGUGCAAAUCGAUCGUCAAA